This 270-nucleotide ribosomal RNA is filed under the name uncultured bacterium. Its description in RNAcentral is "partial 16S ribosomal RNA". It matches the Rfam family "Bacterial small subunit ribosomal RNA", at positions 88 to 354 of the family's 1533-position model. The record is from RNAcentral.
CGGGCGACCGGCGCACGGGUGAGUAACACGUAUGCGACCUGCCCGUAGCAGGGGGAUAAGCGGAAGAAAUUCCGUCUAAUACCGCGUAAUAUCUUUCGGGGGCAUUCCUGAGGGAUUAAAGGAAGCGAUUCCGGCUACGGAUGGGCAUGCGGCGCAUUAGCUAGUCGGCGGGGUAACGGCCCACCGAGGCGACGAUGCGUAGGGGUUCUGAGAGGAAGGUCCCCCACACUGGUACUGAGACACGGACCAGACUCCUACGGGAGGCAGCAG